AGAAGAAGGAGCCGGAUUGCACAGUGAGCCACCAAUCAUCAAUCCAGGCUCUCCUGUCGCUUCCCUACAUCCUCUACCUCUCCAAACUUCUCCCCUCUCUUGACUUAGCACCUCCAAAAAGGUACAUCUUGGCAUAAGGAAAGGAGCUUCUGACUUAAGCCUUGUAAAAAUGUGCUGAGGGAUUUGUUUCUGUGGCCUCCUUUUUGAGCUGAGAAGACUCCCGAGUGAUGUGAAUGGCAAAGCUUGGCUUGAAGCUGUUCCCUUGUGCCUCUGUUACUUCAAGGCCUGGGACCCAAUUCGAUCUAAGCCAGUUCGGUCUGGCUUCCCCUGACCAUGUGGGUGUUGAGUAAGAAAGAGCUAUGAGGAAGAAAGGUUUGCACAGCCCAUCAGGACCCAGAGAGCUUUGCAUCUUGAAGAAAAACAAAGCACACUGAAAUGGUGAA
Molecule: non-coding RNA, 443 nt
Filed under: Pongo abelii (Sumatran orangutan)
Lineage: Eukaryota; Metazoa; Chordata; Mammalia; Primates; Hominidae
Source: RNAcentral